RNAcentral lists this ribosomal RNA (441 nucleotides) under uncultured bacterium. RNAcentral's name for it is "partial 16S ribosomal RNA". It matches the Rfam family "Bacterial small subunit ribosomal RNA", at positions 338 to 795 of the family's 1533-position model. The record is from RNAcentral.
CCUACGGGAGGCAGCAGUGGGGAAUAUUCCACAAUGGGGGAAACCCUGAUGCAGCAACGCCGCGUGAAGGAAGACGGUUUUCGGAUUGUAAACUUCUGUUCUUAGUGAAGAAUAAUGACGGUAGCUAAGGAGCAAGCCACGGCUAACUACGUGCCAGCAGCCGCGGUAAUACGUAGGUUGCACACGUUGUCCGGAAUUACUGGGUGUAAAGGGAGCGCAGGCAGGUAGCCAAGUCAGCUGUGAAAACUACGGGGUUAAAUUGUAGACUGCAGUUGAAACUGGUUUUCUUGAGUGAAGUAGAGGUUGGCGGAAUUCCGAGUGUAGCGGUGAAAUGCGUAGAUAUUCGGAGGAACACCGGUGGCGAAGGCGGGUUUCUGGACAUUAACUGACGCUGAGGCACGAAGGCCAGGGGAGCGAAAGGGAUUAGAUACCCGGGUAGUC